RNAcentral lists this unclassified non-coding RNA (209 nucleotides) under plant metagenome. RNAcentral describes it as "partial contains small subunit ribosomal RNA, internal transcribed spacer 1, and 5.8S ribosomal RNA". The record is from RNAcentral.
UCUCCGUUGGUGAACCAGCGGAGGGAUCAUUACUGGAAUCGCAAGAUCCCACAACCCUGUGAACCUACCGAAACGUUGCCUCGGCGGGUGCCUGGCCCCCGGGCCGGGCGCUGCGCCCGCCGGCGGCCCCCUACUCUGUCUCUGCAGCGUGGCAUCUCAGAGUCCCAGAAAACAAGUCAAAACUUUCAACAACGGAUCUCUUGGCUCUA